Molecule: long non-coding RNA, 1478 nt
Filed under: Cyanistes caeruleus (blue tit)
Lineage: Eukaryota; Metazoa; Chordata; Aves; Passeriformes; Paridae
Description: lncRNA (ENSCCEG00000000651.1)
Source: RNAcentral
AGGUAAAAGCUGCUAGGAAUGAUGAAAAGCUGUGUUUGUAGCUUAGAAAUAAACACAGGGAAGGAAAAUACGGAAGUGUGCAGAUGGAGCGGAUAUUUGGACUAAUCCAGGUUCAAGCCUCCGGGGUUUUUGCUGGCCAUGGAAUUGGGGGGUUAGCUGUCCUGACAGCACUAAAUCCCUCUUUAUCUCUUCUUCCCUUUGUUGUGGAUUUGCAGUGCCGUGGUGUUCGAGUGUGGGGCAGGAUCCAGGCGCUGUGGGAUGCCUGAAGUGGAGCCUUAAGCCAGCAAAGGACUUGAGCCACGGUCAUGUUCACCUCAGGACAAGGUUGUCCUGCAAGAACAGAUGUUAAGUCUGCCAUCCCCUCCUUGUACUGCUGUUGCUAAAAAAGCACCAGUCCGCUCCCAAAUGGGGAGAAAUCCCAAAAGGAAGAGGAUUUCUGGUUGCAGAGAAGCUGUCAGGAUGGAGUGCAGGUGCAGCUUUUUGUGCUGAUGCUUCUUGUACACUGUGGGUAUUUUGAGCUUCCUGUAAACCUCAAGAUGCUGCUGAGCUGCAGGGAAGGUUCUCCCUUGUGCUGACACUUGAAAUUGGUUAGUGCUGAGAAAUUAAUCCCCUGCUUUAGCUGGGCAUUGCUCCUCUUCCCUCAGCAUCCCUGUGUGCAGCUGUGUCCUCCCCAAAGGUGCUGGAUACAGCUCUGGCAUCCCACUCCUGUCCACCUGCGGGGUAUUGCUCACUUUAGAGCAGCAGAACUGUUUCAGUUCAGGUUCCCUCUCAGGCAAUGGGCUGUUCUCACGUGGUGCUGUAGCUUUAUACUGGCAGAAACUCACAGAAUUUUUUUUUUCCUUUCUCUCUGCAGUUUGGUAUUCACAGAGCGGCGUCAGCCCUGCACAUAGCCCGGGUGGUGCUGAGUGUUGGGGAGAUCCUGCAGAUCAGUGCUGCCUGAACCACACUGAUAAAGUCUCCAGGCCUCUUCCUUGGGGAGGUCCUUUCCUGCUGAGGGACAUUUCUCUGGGCCCCUUGAUGCACGUGACAAAGGGUGAUGCUUUGUAAAAGCCAUUUUGUAGCUGGAUGGGAUGUCCUCUCAGCUCCAAAUGCCUUUGCCUGUUGGGAUUGGAGUUUUCCAGCUGAGGUGUCUGCCUUGGACCAAGUUCUUCUGGAGAAACACCAGCUCAGAGUGGAACAGCCACUCCUGAGGAUAUAAUUGUGGAAAACGAAAUAACUUUCCAUGCUGAAGCAAACCUGGCCCUUGUGGAAGAGGCAAAGGGGAAAGAAGAGAGGCUGUAUUAGAGCUUUCCAGUUAAUUCCCUGAAUAUGCCUUUACCUGGACCAUGUUUGAUCUUUCCUCUGAGCUGCCUUUAGUCUGUGCAAGCCUGAGGGCUUUGGCCACAAAGAGAUGGGUAUCCUGUCCUUGGGGGGAACUUUAUCUCCAUUUGGUGGCUUCCAGUGGGAUGAAAAGGGGCAUUGAAGUGGCUGGAAACAUG